CGGAGAAGGUGGUGUUAAAGGAAAACAUUGAGAAUGGGGAGUGAAGACGAGGGUUUUUCGUAGCAGAAGAUGGAUCUUCGAAAGCCAGGAGGCAGAGGAGAGCAACGCUGUCGGUGAGAUAAAGGAAGUUUUCAAAAACCUGCUUCUGUAACUAGUGGACAGGUCUUCUGGAUCCAAGGUCACCUGCUGGGGAGAAAGAGAAGCCUUUGGAUAAACAUCACAAGUUUUCCUGGAACAUGGAUUUUAUUUAAGAUUUUUUGGAAAGAAGGGAAUAAGGUUUUUACCUUUGUAAUGUUUUUACAAAUAU
RNAcentral lists this long non-coding RNA (307 nucleotides) under Homo sapiens (human). RNAcentral describes it as "non-protein coding LINC02417:7". The record is from RNAcentral. Lineage: Eukaryota; Metazoa; Chordata; Mammalia; Primates; Hominidae.